AGAGUUUGAUUAUGGCUCAGGAUGAACGCUAGCGAUAGGCCUAACACAUGCAAGUCGAGGGGCAGCACAUGAAGUAGCAAUACGGAUGGUGGCGACCGGCGCACGGGUGAGUAACGCGUAUGCAACCUGCCUACAACAGGGGAAUAACCCGUUGAAAGACGGACUAAUACCCCAUAACACAGGGAUCCCGCAUGGGAAUAUUUGUUAAAGAUUUAUCGGUUGUAGAUGGGCAUGCGUUCCAUUAGCUUGUUGGUGAGGUAACGGCUCACCAAGGCAACGAUGGAUAGGGGAACUGAGAGGUUUAUCCCCCACACUGGUACUGAGACACGGACCAGACUCCUACGGGAGGCAGCAGUGAGGAAUAUUGGUCAAUGGACGCAAGUCUGAACCAGCCACGUCGCGUGAAGGAAGACGGCCCUACGGGUUGUAAACUUCUUUUGUAAGGGAAUAAAGUGUAGUACGUGUACUAUUUUGCAUGUACCUUACGAAUAAGGAUCGGCUAACUCCGUGCCAGCAGCCGCGGUAAUACGGAGGAUCCGAGCGUUAUCCGGAUUUAUUGGGUUUAAAGGGUGCGCAGGCGGGAGAUUAAGUCGGCGGUGAAAUUUUGCAGCUCAACUGUAAAAGUGCCUUCGAAACUGGUUUCCUUGAGUGUGGAUGAAGUAGGCGGAAUUUGUGGUGUAGCGGUGAAAUGCAUAGAUAUCACGAGGAACUCCGAUUGCGCAGGCAGCUUACUAAACCAUAACUGACGCUCAGCACGAUGCGUGGGGAUCAAACAGGAUUAGAUACCCUGGUAGUC
RNAcentral lists this ribosomal RNA (796 nucleotides) under uncultured Proteiniphilum sp. RNAcentral's name for it is "bacterial SSU rRNA". It matches the Rfam family "Bacterial small subunit ribosomal RNA", at positions 8 to 795 of the family's 1533-position model. Lineage: Bacteria; Pseudomonadati; Bacteroidota; Bacteroidia; Bacteroidales; Dysgonomonadaceae. The record is from RNAcentral.